Polypterus senegalus (gray bichir) is the source of this 410-nucleotide long non-coding RNA. RefSeq lists it as uncharacterized. The transcript has 3 exons. Lineage: Eukaryota; Metazoa; Chordata; Cladistia; Polypteriformes; Polypteridae. The record is from RefSeq and is a predicted model, not a curated record.
AUGUCCCUCAGCCGGAAACUGUUGGAUAGGGAGACCAGAACCAAGACAAGUUUAGCAAGCUGUAAAUAUGCAGAUCUGUACGUAACCAAAGGAGCUGGUGACUGGUGACCUACUAUAAAGACUUUCUUUCCAAGACAGCCAAUUCAGCAUCUUAAAUUACAUUCAUUCUUCUUUUAACCAGAAAGAAAGACGCCCAAAUAAAAAGCCUGUACCUCGAAAAACGCACAGAUCUCCUCAUCUGUCCUCACAAUGAAGAAACGCUCUUUUCUGGCUUCUUGGAGUCACCUUAUUUCCAGUCCCUUCCUGAUGACUUCUGUUCCCUUUGUGACUCCAUUAAAAUUUUGUCAAAUGUAUCUGAUUUUUGUUCUGCUUUUUGACCUUGUUUUCAGCUACUGGAACUUAAGACCAGU